Molecule: ribosomal RNA, 2902 nt
Filed under: Escherichia coli
Lineage: Bacteria; Pseudomonadati; Pseudomonadota; Gammaproteobacteria; Enterobacterales; Enterobacteriaceae
Description: bacterial LSU rRNA
Rfam family: Bacterial large subunit ribosomal RNA
Source: RNAcentral
UUAAGCGACUAAGCGUACACGGUGGAUGCCCUGGCAGUCAGAGGCGAUGAAGGACGUGCUAAUCUGCGAUAAGCGUCGGUAAGGUGAUAUGAACCGUUAUAACCGGCGAUUUCCGAAUGGGGAAACCCAGUGUGUUUCGACACACUAUCAUUAACUGAAUCCAUAGGUUAAUGAGGCGAACCGGGGGAACUGAAACAUCUAAGUACCCCGAGGAAAAGAAAUCAACCGAGAUUCCCCCAGUAGCGGCGAGCGAACGGGGAGCAGCCCAGAGCCUGAAUCAGUGUGUGUGUUAGUGGAAGCGUCUGGAAAGGCGCGCGAUACAGGGUGACAGCCCCGUACACAAAAAUGCACAUGCUGUGAGCUCGAUGAGUAGGGCGGGACACGUGGUAUCCUGUCUGAAUAUGGGGGGACCAUCCUCCAAGGCUAAAUACUCCUGACUGACCGAUAGUGAACCAGUACCGUGAGGGAAAGGCGAAAAGAACCCCGGCGAGGGGAGUGAAAAAGAACCUGAAACCGUGUACGUACAAGCAGUGGGAGCCUCUUUUAUGGGGUGACUGCGUACCUUUUGUAUAAUGGGUCAGCGACUUAUAUUCUGUAGCAAGGUUAACCGAAUAGGGGAGCCGAAGGGAAACCGAGUCUUAACUGGGCGUUAAGUUGCAGGGUAUAGACCCGAAACCCGGUGAUCUAGCCAUGGGCAGGUUGAAGGUUGGGUAACACUAACUGGAGGACCGAACCGACUAAUGUUGAAAAAUUAGCGGAUGACUUGUGGCUGGGGGUGAAAGGCCAAUCAAACCGGGAGAUAGCUGGUUCUCCCCGAAAGCUAUUUAGGUAGCGCCUCGUGAAUUCAUCUCCGGGGGUAGAGCACUGUUUCGGCAAGGGGGUCAUCCCGACUUACCAACCCGAUGCAAACUGCGAAUACCGGAGAAUGUUAUCACGGGAGACACACGGCGGGUGCUAACGUCCGUCGUGAAGAGGGAAACAACCCAGACCGCCAGCUAAGGUCCCAAAGUCAUGGUUAAGUGGGAAACGAUGUGGGAAGGCCCAGACAGCCAGGAUGUUGGCUUAGAAGCAGCCAUCAUUUAAAGAAAGCGUAAUAGCUCACUGGUCGAGUCGGCCUGCGCGGAAGAUGUAACGGGGCUAAACCAUGCACCGAAGCUGCGGCAGCGACGCUUAUGCGUUGUUGGGUAGGGGAGCGUUCUGUAAGCCUGUGAAGGUGUGCUGUGAGGCAUGCUGGAGGUAUCAGAAGUGCGAAUGCUGACAUAAGUAACGAUAAAGCGGGUGAAAAGCCCGCUCGCCGGAAGACCAAGGGUUCCUGUCCAACGUUAAUCGGGGCAGGGUGAGUCGACCCCUAAGGCGAGGCCGAAAGGCGUAGUCGAUGGGAAACAGGUUAAUAUUCCUGUACUUGGUGUUACUGCGAAGGGGGGACGGAGAAGGCUAUGUUGGCCGGGCGACGGUUGUCCCGGUUUAAGCGUGUAGGCUGGUUUUCCAGGCAAAUCCGGAAAAUCAAGGCUGAGGCGUGAUGACGAGGCACUACGGUGCUGAAGCAACAAAUGCCCUGCUUCCAGGAAAAGCCUCUAAGCAUCAGGUAACAUCAAAUCGUACCCCAAACCGACACAGGUGGUCAGGUAGAGAAUACCAAGGCGCUUGAGAGAACUCGGGUGAAGGAACUAGGCAAAAUGGUGCCGUAACUUCGGGAGAAGGCACGCUGAUAUGUAGGUGAAGCGACUUGCUCGUGGAGCUGAAAUCAGUCGAAGAUACCAGCUGGCUGCAACUGUUUAUUAAAAACACAGCACUGUGCAAACACGAAAGUGGACGUAUACGGUGUGACGCCUGCCCGGUGCCGGAAGGUUAAUUGAUGGGGUCAGCGCAAGCGAAGCUCUUGAUCGAAGCCCCGGUAAACGGCGGCCGUAACUAUAACGGUCCUAAGGUAGCGAAAUUCCUUGUCGGGUAAGUUCCGACCUGCACGAAUGGCGUAAUGAUGGCCAGGCUGUCUCCACCCGAGACUCAGUGAAAUUGAACUCGCUGUGAAGAUGCAGUGUACCCGCGGCAAGACGGAAAGACCCCGUGAACCUUUACUAUAGCUUGACACUGAACAUUGAGCCUUGAUGUGUAGGAUAGGUGGGAGGCUUAGAAGUGUGGACGCCAGUCUGCAUGGAGCCGACCUUGAAAUACCACCCUUUAAUGUUUGAUGUUCUAACGUUGACCCGUAAUCCGGGUUGCGGACAGUGUCUGGUGGGUAGUUUGACUGGGGCGGUCUCCUCCUAAAGAGUAACGGAGGAGCACGAAGGUUGGCUAAUCCUGGUCGGACAUCAGGAGGUUAGUGCAAUGGCAUAAGCCAGCUUGACUGCGAGCGUGACGGCGCGAGCAGGUGCGAAAGCAGGUCAUAGUGAUCCGGUGGUUCUGAAUGGAAGGGCCAUCGCUCAACGGAUAAAAGGUACUCCGGGGAUAACAGGCUGAUACCGCCCAAGAGUUCAUAUCGACGGCGGUGUUUGGCACCUCGAUGUCGGCUCAUCACAUCCUGGGGCUGAAGUAGGUCCCAAGGGUAUGGCUGUUCGCCAUUUAAAGUGGUACGCGAGCUGGGUUUAGAACGUCGUGAGACAGUUCGGUCCCUAUCUGCCGUGGGCGCUGGAGAACUGAGGGGGGCUGCUCCUAGUACGAGAGGACCGGAGUGGACGCAUCACUGGUGUUCGGGUUGUCAUGCCAAUGGCACUGCCCGGUAGCUAAAUGCGGAAGAGAUAAGUGCUGAAAGCAUCUAAGCACGAAACUUGCCCCGAGAUGAGUUCUCCCUGACCCUUUAAGGGUCCUGAAGGAACGUUGAAGACGACGACGUUGAUAGGCCGGGUGUGUAAGCGCAGCGAUGCGUUGAGCUAACCGGUACUAAUGAACCGUGAGGCUUAACCUU